RNAcentral lists this long non-coding RNA (287 nucleotides) under Brassica rapa (field mustard). RNAcentral describes it as "long non-coding RNA (BRAP_LNC006969)". The record is from RNAcentral. Lineage: Eukaryota; Viridiplantae; Streptophyta; Magnoliopsida; Brassicales; Brassicaceae.
CCACCACCUCCACCUCCGCUUCCUAAGGCAAAUAUUUCAAAUGCCCCCAUGCCACCUCCUCCACCUCCACUUCCUCCUUCAUCUGCAAAGUUGGGUGCUCCCCCUCCGCCUCCUCCACCACCACGUCCUCCUUUAUCCGGAAAGUUGGGUGCUCCGCCUCCUCCACCACCACGUCCUCCUUCAUCCGGAAAGUUGGGUGCUCCCCCUCCGCCUCCACCACCACCACUAUCCAAGACCCCUGCUCCCCCUCCGCCACCUCUAUCCAAGACCUCUGCUCCUCCUCCUCC